AUUGAACGCUGGCGGAAUGCUUUACACAUGCAAGUCGAACGGCAGCACGGACUUCGGUCUGGUGGCGAGUGGCGAACGGGUGAGUAAUGUAUCGGAACGUGCCCAGUCGUGGGGGAUAACGUAGUGAAAAUUACGCUAAUACCGCAUACGAUCUAUGGAUGAAAGCGGGGGAUCGCAAGACCUUGCGCGAUUGGAGCGGCCGAUAUCAGAUUAGGUAGUUGGUGGGGUAAAGGCCCACCAAGCCAACGAUCUGUAGCUGGUCUGAGAGGACGACCAGCCACACUGGAACUGAGACACGGUCCAGACUCCUACGGGAGGAAGCAGUGGGGAAUUUUGGACAAUGGGCGAAAGCCUGAUCCAGCCAUUCCGCGUGCAGGAGGAAGGCCCUCGGGUUGUAAACUGCUUUUGUACAGAACGAAAAGGUUUCUACUAAUACUAGGAGCUCAUGACGGUACUGUAAGAAUAAGAACCGGCUAACUACGUGCCAGCCGCCGCCGUAA
RNAcentral lists this ribosomal RNA (500 nucleotides) under uncultured bacterium. RNAcentral's name for it is "partial 16S ribosomal RNA". It matches the Rfam family "Bacterial small subunit ribosomal RNA", at positions 30 to 523 of the family's 1533-position model. The record is from RNAcentral.